UGUCACCCAGGACUGGGGACACCCAAGGGUGCUUGGGCACACCAUGAGGUUUGGUGUCACCCAGGUGGGUUGGGGACACCAUGAGGUUUGAUGUCACCCAGGGCUGGGGACACCCCGGUGGGCUGGGGACACCCAAGGGUGCUUGGGCACACCAUGAGGUUUGGUGUCACCCAGGUGAGUUGGGGACACCAUGAGGUUUGGUGUCACCCAGGUGGGUUGGGGACACCAUGAGGUUUGGUGUCACCCAGGUGAGUUGGGGACACCAUGAGGUUUGGUGUCACCCAGGUGGGUUGGGGACACCAUGAGGUUUGGUGUCACCCAG
Tympanuchus pallidicinctus (lesser prairie-chicken) is the source of this 322-nucleotide long non-coding RNA. RefSeq lists it as uncharacterized. The record is from RefSeq and is a predicted model, not a curated record. Lineage: Eukaryota; Metazoa; Chordata; Aves; Galliformes; Phasianidae. The transcript is spliced from 3 exons.